Scylla paramamosain (green mud crab) is the source of this 3752-nucleotide long non-coding RNA. RefSeq lists it as uncharacterized. The transcript is spliced from 3 exons. The record is from RefSeq and is a predicted model, not a curated record. Lineage: Eukaryota; Metazoa; Arthropoda; Malacostraca; Decapoda; Portunidae.
AAAAGAAACAAGAAACUGGGAGACGACAGCGGAGUAUGUGCAGCGUAGUGUUGAUGAUGGAGGAGGAGGAGGAGGAGGAAGAGGAGGAGAGGUAGUGGGAGAAGGAGGAAGAGUGAGUGGGUGAGUGAGGGAGACGAGAGAGGAGGGGCAGAAGCAGAGAGGCGAGGCGAGGAGAGCAGGGAGGCGGCAUGGGGUGUGGCUGAGGUGCGGGCGGGCAGGUGAGGGGUGCGUUAGGCGAGGUGGGGCGGAGUGGGGCGAGAUGCGUGGUAGUGGUGCUAGUGAUGGUGGAGGCAGUGGAGGCAGUAGGGGUGGUGGCAGGGGUGGAGGUGGUGCAGGAGGAAGUGUGCUGGUGCCCUGCCUCCGGCCACCCUACCAGUCGAUGCCUGGCCGUCCGCUCCGCGCCACACCCGCCUCGGCGUUGCCCUCACCUGUCGCUCCGCCUAACACACGGACACGCGCCCUCCCGCCCCGCCUCUCUUACCUGCCUCGACUCGAAGCUCGCGCCGCCCUCUCUUCUCCCCGUCCAGUCACUUCGGAGGCAGCGAUGGGGGUGCAUAGCGUGGCGUCAGGAUGUACAGUGAGCUCACGGUAUGCUGUUUGGAACUCGGCACUCUUUUGAGCAGUGGAGAUGUAUUAAUUUUUGAAGAGCGGGGGAACGUGUGAGUCGAGAGCUCGCUUGUUUACUUUCCCGUGUGGAGCUUGAGAAAACACAAGUCCGAGUCUUUUAGUGUGAGUCCGUGAGGAAGGAACAUCUACUCUGCUACUACACUGAGUUCUCUCUGUCUCUCUGCAUCUCCAUCUCAGCUGCUGGCAAGCUUAACGCAACAAAGACAAUCGAAAAGAUGAAAAUAAUGGCGCUGGAGGAAGAGUGAGUGAGAAGUGAGCGAAAAUGACCUACACGACCCAAACACCUUGUCGCGAAAUAGAGAAGUAACGAAAAAUAAAUUAAUAAAUACAAGAAAAGAAAUAAAAAAAAGAGACUGACAGAAAUACAGUGAUUGAGAGAGAGAGAGAGAGAGAGAGAGAGAGAGAGAGAGAGAGAGAGAGAGAGAGAGAGAGAGAGAGAGAGAGAGAGAGAGAGAGAGAGAGAGAGAGAGAGAGAGAGAGUUAAAAAAAGAAAAUUAUACCUGGAAGCACUUUUGGCAGAUAAGACACGAGAGAGAGAGAGAGAGAGAGAGAGAGAGAGAGAGAGAGAGAGAGAGAGAGAGAGAGAGAGAGAGAGAGAGAGAGUCAGUUCCGACCUUUCCUUGCGCCCUAUUGUUAGUUGGACGAAAGAGAGACGUGCGAGAAAUGAACUUUGAAAGAAGACGUGCCGGUGACAUCAACUGAAAGACACAACACAAAAGAGACGCAGAUAAAAAAAAGAGAGCCAAGUAAAAUCAACCCAUCUCUCUUUAACACAAAAAUAUCAACGAGUAAGAAAGAAAAAAGACAGAAAACAAAAAGAAACUAAACUAGAAGAUAAAGCUUCACUAAAGAUCCACUUAAUCUGGUGAGAGAAAGACACAGAGGAGGAGGAGGAGAGGAGAGUGAGAGAGAAAAAAAAGUGUGCCAAAAGUUUGCUUGGAAGUGAAGGAGAAAAAAACCAAGGGCACAGAGAGAGAGAGAGAGAGAGAGAGAGAGAGAGAGAGAGAGAGAGAGAGAGAGAGAGAGAGAGAGAGAGUGAGAGAGUAGAAAAUUGAUGACCUUCGGAUGCUUUUUCGAGUGCUAACCAGGGAUCAAUAUCGACUGCAACCUUUCACGAGCACAACCAAGCCAAGCCAAGCCAAGCGAGGAUAGGCAGGCAGGGACGUUGGCCUCACAAGAGCAUGAAGAGGCCGUCGACAAAGUGACAGCAAAGUGAAAGAGAAACAAGCACAAGAAAGAAAGCUAUUUAGGACUUUGAAAACUAGAAAAGGGUAAAAAGGGUGAAGAGAGAGAAAAUAAAAAAAGACACACAAACAAGUUGGCGAAAGCGCAAACCCGAGAUAAAUAGACCGCGGCAAAGUGAGUGAGAGAGAGAGGAAGAGAGAGAGAGAGAGAGAGAGAGAGAGAGAGAGAGAGAGAGAGAGAGAGAGAGAGAGAGAGAGAGAGAGAGAGAGAGAGAGAGAGAGAGAAAGAGAUUAGGUGAGUGGAGCGGCAAAGCACCCUAUCUCAAUUGCUCUCUUUAUCUCACUCACUUCCUAUACCUAACAAACACACACACACACACACACACACACACACACACACACACACACGGACACGCAAACACACACGUAAACAUUUGACGAGGAAGAAUGCAGCGACUGGAACCGGGAGUCGAGAGAGGAAGAAGAAGAGGAGCAGGAGGCGGCGGAGGAGGCGGAGGGGGACUAGGAGUGAGAGGAUCCCUGGCUCUGUUCUUCCCUCCCUACCUCUCACAUCUCCCCCGCCUUCUCAUGCUGCUCCAAGGGACUCUCCUAAUUGUUCACGCCUACGGGGACUAUGAAGAUAACUACAUCCACGACACGGGCGAAGGUAAGUCAGGUACCUUAAUGAACCUUGCCCCAGGUGACCGUGACUCACUCACUCCCUUGAGUCUUAAACGAGAUGAAGCCUUGUGCCUCCCUCUCACCCCCUCACCCCAAGAUCCCCGCGCGCUCCUCACCUCUCAUUCAGCCUCAUUAACGCCCUCCCUCAGGUGAGCACUUUGCCAGGUGUCGAGACUCUCGCCUUAACUCAGCGGCACAGGCAAGUCCCGGCAAGACCCCCGGACACCUGCCGAGUUAAGGGGAGCUCCCUGUCGGCGCCUGCAUCCCGUGUUCUAAGAGCAUUCACGGGCCUGGCGUCCCCCGCCCUUAGUUGAGGUCAAGGGAGGUGCACAUUAAAGGGCAUAAGCAAUGGUGAUGGCGGUGGCUGCGGUGGUCGUAGUGGUAGUGGCGGCGGAGAUUACAGCGGCCGUGGCAGUGGUGGUGAAUUUACGGGUAGUGUUGGUGGUGAUGAAACGACGCAUAAGGGUAGACGACGAGUUUCCGCCAUCAUCACGUCCCCUGUUUCUUUCCCCGAGUUUCAUUUCGUUUCAUCAAUUCGUCUUUUUCCCUUGCAUGUCUCUUUCGGAGCGGGUAACAAGAACACGCAGGCGCUCACAUCAUAAACUGCACCAGCUAAGCAUGCAAGUGUUGGCGUAAAAAAUGUACGAUAAAACCCAGAUGAAAACAUGGCACGGGUUAAGUUCUGAGAAAAUGCCUGGAAAUAUUUCUAUCGUAUAUACUUUACCACUAAAAACAAACAGCCUGCAAAAAUAAAUGAAAAGAAAGAGCUGUACAGAGUCGUAAAUAUGAAAGAUAUAUUUCGCGCUCAAAGAAAACAAGAAAAGAACACGGUAAAAAUUAUCGUCCGUAAUUUAAUUCCAUCGGUUAUGUCAACAAACCUUAUAAGUUGCCCUCUUGUCCCUCGUCCUCCUCUUCCUCGUCCUCUUCCUCCUCCUCCUCCUCCUCCUCCUCCUCCUCCUCCUCUCCCCACAAAUCUUCCUAAGAAUCUUUACUUUUCCUUUCUUCUUCUCCUUCAUUUUUACUUUUUUUUCUUCUCCCCAUCCUCCACAUUCUUCUAGCUUUUGAGGUUAUUCUUCUGCUUCUUUUUCUUUUAUAUUUUCCUCUUACAAAACUCCACCAUCCAUUAUUUGCAUUUUUCUUUUCUCUUAUUCUCUUUCUUUUUCAUUUUUUUUUAUCAAUUUUUGUCUUUAAUUCCUUCUUGUUCUUGUUCUUUUUCUUCUACUCAUCCUCCUCUUUGUUCUUGAUCUUCUUCCCUUCUUC